Molecule: ribosomal RNA, 443 nt
Filed under: uncultured bacterium
Lineage: Bacteria
Description: partial 16S ribosomal RNA
Rfam family: Bacterial small subunit ribosomal RNA
Source: RNAcentral
CCUACGGGAGGCAGCAGUGGGGAAUAUUGGACAAUGGGGGGAACCCUGAUCCAGCGACGCCGCGUGAGUGAAGAAGUAUUUCGGUAUGUAAAGCUCUAUCAGCAGGGAAGAAAGAAAUGACGGUACCUGACUAAGAAGCCCCGGCUAACUACGUGCCAGCAGCCGCGGUAAUACGUAGGGGGCAAGCGUUAUCCGGAUUUACUGGUUGUAAAGGGAGCGUAGACGGCGAUGCAAGUCUGAAGUGAAAGGCGGGGGCCCAACCCCCGGACUGCUUUGGAAACUGGAUGGCUGGAGUGCAGGAGAGGGAAGUGGAAGUCCUAGUGUAGCGGUGAAAUGCGUAGAGAUUAGGAGGAAAACCAGUGGCGAAGGCGGCGUACUGGACUGUAACUGACGUUGAGGCUCGAAAGCGUGGGGAGCAAACAGGAUUAGAUACCCUUGUAGUC